RNAcentral lists this unclassified non-coding RNA (418 nucleotides) under soil metagenome. RNAcentral's name for it is "partial contains 5.8S ribosomal RNA, internal transcribed spacer 2, and large subunit ribosomal RNA". The stretch from base 1 to 120 matches the Rfam family "5.8S ribosomal RNA", at positions 35 to 154 of the family's 154-position model. The record is from RNAcentral.
GAUGAAGAACGUAGCGAAAUGCGAUAAGUAAUGUGAAUUGCAGAAUUCAGUGAAUCAUCGAAUCUUUGAACGCAUCUUGCGCUCCUUGGUAUUCCUUGGAGCAUGCCUGCUUGAGUAUCAUGAGCAAAUCUCAAAGUCAAUUCCUUUUGUUGAUUCAAUUGGUUUUGCUUUGGACUUGGAGGCCUUGCAGAUUUCACAGUCUGCUCCUCUUAAAUGCAUUAGCUGGAUCUCAGUAAUUAUGCUUGGUUCCACUCGGCGUGAUAAGUAUCACUCGCUGAGGACACUGUUAAAAAGGUGGCCAGGAAAAUACUGAUUGAACCGCUUCUAACGGUCUAUUAAGUUAGACAAUUACCCUUAAGUUUGAUCUCAAAUCAGGUAGGACUACCCGCUGAACUUAAGCAUAUCAAUAAGCGGAGGA